GACGAACGCUGGCGGCGUGCUUAACACAUGCAAGUCGAACGAUGAAGCCCAGCUUGCUGGGUGGAUUAGUGGCGAACGGGUGAGUAACACGUGGGUGAUCUGCCCUGCACUCUGGGAUAAGCCUGGGAAACUGGGUCUAAUACCGGAUAUGACCUCGGGAUGCAUGUCAUGGGGGGGAAAGUUCUUCGGUGCAGGAUGAGCCCGCGGCCUAUCAGCUUGUUGGUGGGGUAAUGGCCUACCAAGGCGACGACGGGUAGCCGGCCUGAGAGGGCGACCGGCCACACUGGGACUGAGACACGGCCCAGACUCCUACGGGAGGCAGCAGUGGGGAAUAUUGCACAAUGGGCGCAAGCCUGAUGCAGCGACGCCGCGUGAGGGAUGACGGCCUUCGGGUCGUAAACCUCUUUCAGCAGGGACGAAGCGCAAGUGACGGUACCUGCAGAAGAAGCACCGGCCAACUACGUGCCAGCAGCCGCCGCGG
RNAcentral lists this ribosomal RNA (481 nucleotides) under uncultured bacterium. RNAcentral describes it as "partial 16S ribosomal RNA". It matches the Rfam family "Bacterial small subunit ribosomal RNA", at positions 28 to 523 of the family's 1533-position model. The record is from RNAcentral.